UUAAACGAUUAAUUUUUGUAAAUUUGGAUUAUUAGUCUUUGGGGGAUUGAGGAAAUUAAGGUGAAAUUUAAUUUUUAUUGUUUUGGGGAUAAAUAUUGAAAUUUUAAUGGGAAAAGGAUUAGAUACCCUUGUACUAUUUUUUGGUAAGUAGUAGAUUUAUUAGUUGAAACUUAAAUUAGUUGGCGGUUUAAAGGUUUUAUAGAGGGGCUUGAGGAGUAAUAGAUGAUCCUCUUUAAAUUUUUUCUUUUUUUUUUAUCUUUUGUAUUUUUGUAAUAUUGAAGCUUGAAGGUUUAUUAUGGGUAAAUAUAAUUUGUUAUUGCAAAUCAAAAUGUAGAUUAUAGAAUAGAUUUUUUUAGCCACUUUUUUAAUUAGUUUGAAUUUUAGUAUUUAUUAGUAAAUUAAUGUUUUUGUCUUUUUUUGAAUUUUUAACUUUUGAUGUACAUAUCGCCCGUCGCUUUUAUUUUGGUAAAAUAAGUCGUAAC
Molecule: ribosomal RNA, 482 nt
Filed under: Demodex sp. C CB-2023a
Lineage: Eukaryota; Metazoa; Arthropoda; Arachnida; Trombidiformes; Demodicidae
Description: partial small subunit ribosomal RNA
Source: RNAcentral